GUACAACAAAAUUAUUGCG
This is a non-coding RNA of Caenorhabditis elegans, 19 nucleotides long. The record is from Ensembl. Lineage: Eukaryota; Metazoa; Nematoda; Chromadorea; Rhabditida; Rhabditidae.